Molecule: ribosomal RNA, 253 nt
Filed under: uncultured bacterium
Lineage: Bacteria
Description: partial 16S ribosomal RNA
Rfam family: Bacterial small subunit ribosomal RNA
Source: RNAcentral
UACGUAGGUGGCGAGCGUUGUCCGGAAUUACUGGGUGUAAAGGGCGUGUAGGCGGGGCAUUAAGUCAGAUGUGAAAUUCCAUGGCUCAACUGUGGGCGUGCAUCUGAAACUGAUGUUCUUGAGUGCAGGAGAGGAAAGCGGAAUUCCUAGUGUAGCAGUGAAAUGCGUAGAUAUUAGGAGGAACACCGGUGGCGAAGGCGGCUUUCUGGACUGUAACUGACGCUGAGGCGCGAAAGCGUGGGGAGCAAACAGG